This 465-nucleotide ribosomal RNA is filed under the name Vreelandella stevensii. RNAcentral describes it as "partial 16S ribosomal RNA". It matches the Rfam family "Bacterial small subunit ribosomal RNA", at positions 338 to 795 of the family's 1533-position model. The record is from RNAcentral. Lineage: Bacteria; Pseudomonadati; Pseudomonadota; Gammaproteobacteria; Oceanospirillales; Halomonadaceae.
CCUACGGGAGGCAGCAGUGGGGAAUAUUGGACAAUGGGGGGAACCCUGAUCCAGCCAUGCCGCGUGUGUGAAGAAGGCCCUCGGGUUGUAAAGCACUUUCAGUGAGGAAGAACGCCUGGUGGUUAAUACCCAUCAGGAAAGACAUCACUCACAGAAGAAGCACCGGCUAACUCCGUGCCAGCAGCCGCGGUAAUACGGAGGGUGCGAGCGUUAAUCGGAAUUACUGGGCGUAAAGCGCGCGUAGGUGGCUUGAUAAGCCGGUUGUGAAAGCCCCGGGCUCAACCUGGGAACGGCAUCCGGAACUGUCAAGCUAGAGUGCAGGAGAGGAAGGUAGAAUUCCCGGUGUAGAGGUGAAAUGCGUAGAGAUCGGGAGGAGUACCAGUGGCGAAGGCGGACUUCUGGACUGACACUGACACUGAGGUGCGAAAGCGUGGGUAGCAAACAGGAUUAGAUACCCCGGUAGUC